Molecule: ribosomal RNA, 253 nt
Filed under: uncultured bacterium
Lineage: Bacteria
Description: partial 16S ribosomal RNA
Rfam family: Bacterial small subunit ribosomal RNA
Source: RNAcentral
UACAGAGGGUGCGAGCGUUAAUCGGAAUUACUGGGCGUAAAGCGUGCGUAGACGGUAGCGUAAGUCAGAUGUGAAAGCCCCGGGCUCAACCUGGGAAUUGCAUUUGAGACUGCUCUGCUCGGGUGCGGAAGAGGGAAGCGGAAUUUCCGGUGUAGCGGUGAAAUGCGCAGAUAUCAGGAGGAACACCAAUGGCGAAGGCAGCUCGCUGGGACGGUACUGACGCUGAGACGCGAAAGCGUGGGGAGCAAACAGG